AUCCGAUUGAUGAGUCCAAAAUAAAACGAAAUGCGCGUCCCGGAU
Non-coding RNA from Schistosoma rodhaini, 45 nucleotides. The record is from Rfam. NCBI's taxonomy places the organism in Eukaryota, Metazoa, Platyhelminthes, Trematoda, Strigeidida, Schistosomatidae.